CCCUUAGAUGUUCUGGGCCGCACGCGCGCUACACUGAUUCAUGCAUCAAGUAUACAACCUUGGUCGAAAGGCUUGGGUAAUCUUUGAAACUGAAUCGUGCUGGGGAUUGGAGCUUGUAACUAUUCUCCAUGAACGAGGAAUUCCUAGUAAACGCGAGUCAUCAGCUCGCAUUGAUUACGUCCCUGCCCUUUGUACACACCGCCCGUCGCACCUACCGAUUGAAUGGUCCGGUGAAAUCUUCGGACCGUGCGAUGUCCAGCAAUGGACGUUGCGUGGAAAGUCGCUUAAACCUUACCAUUUAGAGGAAGGUGAAGUCGUAACA
This 322-nucleotide ribosomal RNA is filed under the name uncultured eukaryote. RNAcentral describes it as "partial 18S ribosomal RNA". It matches the Rfam family "Eukaryotic small subunit ribosomal RNA", at positions 1470 to 1796 of the family's 1831-position model. The record is from RNAcentral.